This 221-nucleotide small nuclear RNA is filed under the name Myotis davidii. RNAcentral describes it as "U2 spliceosomal RNA". It matches the Rfam family "U2 spliceosomal RNA". Rfam says of the family: U2 is a small nuclear RNA (snRNA) component of the spliceosome (involved in pre-mRNA splicing). Complementary binding between U2 snRNA (in an area lying towards the 5' end but 3' to hairpin I) and the branchpoint sequence (BPS) of the intron results the bulging out of an unpaired adenosine, on the BPS, which initiates a nucleophilic attack at the intronic 5' splice site, thus starting the first of two transesterification reactions that mediate splicing. The record is from Rfam by way of RNAcentral. Lineage: Eukaryota; Metazoa; Chordata; Mammalia; Chiroptera; Vespertilionidae.
AUCGCUUCUCGGCCUUUUGGCUAAGAUCAAGUGUAGUAUCUGUUCUUAUCAGUUUAAUAAUUACUUUUUUAUCCUAGAUCUCCCUCUCCCCCCAAAAAAUCUGGAGAAGAGGCAGUCUCAUAUCUACAAGAAAAUUACUAUGUUAAGCAUUACAUAGGCCUGAGCAAGAAAAAAAGUAAUUGAUCUGGUUAUUUAAAUAAAACUGGUGGUGGUUGUCCAAU